Molecule: ribosomal RNA, 328 nt
Filed under: Trechus obtusus
Lineage: Eukaryota; Metazoa; Arthropoda; Insecta; Coleoptera; Carabidae
Description: partial 16S ribosomal RNA
Source: RNAcentral
UUAAAUGGCUGCAGUAAUUUGACUGUACAAAGGUAGCAUAAUCAUUAGUUUUUUAAUUAAAAGCUUGUAUGAAAGGUUGGACGAAAUAAAAUCUGUCUCUUUUUAAAAAAAUUAGAAUUUUAUUUUUAAGUUAAAAAGCUUAAAUUUUUAUAAAAGACGAGAAGACCCUAUAGAGUUUUAUAAUUUUAAUUUAAUAAUUAAUUUAGAUUUAUUAAUUUUAUUUUAUUUAAAUUAUUUUAUUGGGGUAAUAAAAAGAUUAGAAAAAUUCUUUUUUAAAUAAAUCAUUAAUAUAUGAAAAUUUUAUGAUCCAUUAAGUUUUGAGUAUAAG